GCCUGGGUGGCUCAGUCAUUUGAGCAUCUGACUUCAGCUCAGAUCAUAAUCUCAGGUCAGGGUUCAAGCCCCACAUCAGGCU
This 82-nucleotide transfer RNA is filed under the name Felis catus (domestic cat). It matches the Rfam family "tRNA". Rfam says of the family: Transfer RNA (tRNA) molecules are approximately 80 nucleotides in length. Their secondary structure includes four short double-helical elements and three loops (D, anti-codon, and T loops). Further hydrogen bonds mediate the characteristic L-shaped molecular structure. tRNAs have two regions of fundamental functional importance: the anti-codon, which is responsible for specific mRNA codon recognition, and the 3' end, to which the tRNAs corresponding amino acid is attached (by aminoacyl-tRNA synthetases). tRNAs cope with the degeneracy of the genetic code in two manners: having more than one tRNA (with a specific anti-codon) for a particular amino acid; and 'wobble' base-pairing, i.e. permitting non-standard base-pairing at the 3rd anti-codon position. Lineage: Eukaryota; Metazoa; Chordata; Mammalia; Carnivora; Felidae. The record is from Rfam by way of RNAcentral.